AGGACGAACGCUGGCGGCGUGCUUAACACAUGCAAGUCGAGCGGAAAGGCCCUUCGGGGUACUCGAGCGGCGAACGGGUGAGUAACACGUGAGCAACCUGCCCUUAGCUCUGGGAUAGCUCCGGGAAACCGGAAUUAAUACCGGAUAUGACCUAGGCCGACAUCGGCCGUGGUGGAAAGUUUUUCGGCUAGGGAUGGACUCGCGGCCUAUCAGCUAGUUGGUGGGGUAAUGGCCUACCAAGGCGACGACGGGUAGCCGGCCUGAGAGGGCGACCGGCCACACUGGGACUGAGACACGGCCCAGACUCCUACGGGAGGCAGCAGUGGGAAUCUUGCGCAAUGGGCGAAAGCCUGACGCAGCGACGCCGCGUGGGGGAUGAAGGCCUUCGGGUUGUAAACCCCGUUUCAGCAGGGACGAAGCGAAAGUGACGGUACCUGCAGAAGAAGCGCCGGCUAACUACGCGCCAGCAGCCGC
RNAcentral lists this ribosomal RNA (474 nucleotides) under uncultured bacterium. Its description in RNAcentral is "SSU rRNA". It matches the Rfam family "Bacterial small subunit ribosomal RNA", at positions 26 to 518 of the family's 1533-position model. The record is from RNAcentral.